This 77-nucleotide small nucleolar RNA is filed under the name Ciona intestinalis (vase tunicate). The record is from RNAcentral. Lineage: Eukaryota; Metazoa; Chordata; Ascidiacea; Phlebobranchia; Cionidae.
UGCCGAUGAUGAAAAAAUAUCACCAUCUUUCGACUGAUAUUUAGUGAUGUUUUCUUCACUUUGACCUGAGGCAUGCU